GUGUAUGAAGAAGGCCUUCGGGUUGUAAAGUACUUUCGCGGGGAGGAAGGGAGUAAAGUUAAUACCUUUGCUCAUUGACGUUACCCGCAAAAAAAGCACCGGCUAACUCCGUGCCAGCAGCCGCGGUAAUACGGAGGGUGCAAGCGUUAAUCGGAAUUACUGGGCGUAAAGCGCACGCAGGCGGUUUGUUAAGUCAAAUGUGAAAUCCCCGGGCUCAACCUGGGAACUGCAUCUGAUACUGGCAAGCUUGAGUCUCGUAAAGGGGGGUAGAAUUCCAGGUGUAGCGGUGAAAUGCGUAAAGAUCUGGAGGAAUACCGGUGGCGAAGGCGGCCCCCUGGACGAAAACUGACGCUCAGGUGCGAAAGCGUGGGGAGCAAACAGGAUUAAAUACCCUGGUAGUCCACGCCGUAAACGAUGUCGACUUGGAGGUUGUGCCCUUGAGGCGUGGCUUCCGGAGCUAACGCGUUAAGUCGACCGCCUGGGGAGUACGGCCGCAAGGUUAAAACU
Molecule: ribosomal RNA, 507 nt
Filed under: uncultured bacterium
Lineage: Bacteria
Description: bacterial SSU rRNA
Rfam family: Bacterial small subunit ribosomal RNA
Source: RNAcentral